CCCCGAAGUGUGGUUCGCUGGUCUCCC
RNAcentral lists this small RNA (27 nucleotides) under Bombyx mori (domestic silkworm). RNAcentral's name for it is "ovarian small RNA-13665". The record is from RNAcentral. Lineage: Eukaryota; Metazoa; Arthropoda; Insecta; Lepidoptera; Bombycidae.